RNAcentral lists this ribosomal RNA (216 nucleotides) under Glomeromycotina sp. Its description in RNAcentral is "partial small subunit ribosomal RNA". The stretch from base 44 to 216 matches the Rfam family "Eukaryotic small subunit ribosomal RNA", at positions 690 to 864 of the family's 1831-position model. Lineage: Eukaryota; Fungi; Glomeromycota. The record is from RNAcentral.
GGGUCAGUAGGUUGGUCGUGCCACCGGUACGUACUGGUCCCACUGAUUCCUCCUUCCUGAAGAACCGUAAUGCCAUUAAUUUGGUGUUGCGGGGAAACAGGACUGUUACUUUGAAAAAAUUAGAGUGUUUAAAGCAAGCUAACGCUUGAAUACAUUAGCAUGGAAUAAUGAAAUAGGACGAUCGAUCCUAUUUUGUUGGUUUCUAGGAUUGACGUG